Molecule: ribosomal RNA, 253 nt
Filed under: uncultured bacterium
Lineage: Bacteria
Description: partial 16S ribosomal RNA
Rfam family: Bacterial small subunit ribosomal RNA
Source: RNAcentral
UACGGAGGGUGCAAACGUUGCUCGGAAUCCUUGGGCGUAAAGCGCACGUAGGUGGCCUGUUAAGUCGGGUGUGAAAUCCCUGGGCUCAACCCAGGAAGUGCACUCGAAACUGGCAGGCUUGAGUACUGAAGAGGGUCGCGGAAUUCCCGGUGUAGAGGUGAAAUUCGUAGAUAUCGGGAGGAACACCAGUGGCGAAGGCGAUCAUCUGGGGUUGUUCUGACACUGAGGAGCGAAAGCUAGGGGAGCAAACGGG